ACGAAGGUGGGAUUGGGACAUGGUAGGAUUAGGAAUAGGGGUGAGGUUGGCACAUGGUAGAGAUGAGGGGUGGAGAUGGUGGCUAGGAACAGGGUUAGAAAUGGGGGUUGGAAAUGGGGUUGGAAACAGGGUUGAGAACAGGGAUUGGGAAUGGGGUCGGGAAUAAGAGACAUAUAUGAUUACAAAAUCUGUAAUAAAGAUCCAACAUAAUAAACUUCAUGCAACUAGAUUUGUUCAGUGUUUCAUUUAGUAAAUUCAAAUUUUAACUCUUUAUUUAUCUUUAAAAUUGA
This 290-nucleotide long non-coding RNA is filed under the name Physcomitrium patens. RNAcentral describes it as "long non-coding RNA (PPAT_LNC002150)". The record is from RNAcentral. Lineage: Eukaryota; Viridiplantae; Streptophyta; Bryopsida; Funariales; Funariaceae.